RNAcentral lists this unclassified non-coding RNA (253 nucleotides) under uncultured Alphaproteobacteria bacterium. RNAcentral describes it as "contains 16S-23S intergenic spacer region". It matches the Rfam family "Bacterial small subunit ribosomal RNA", at positions 524 to 776 of the family's 1533-position model. Lineage: Bacteria; Pseudomonadati; Pseudomonadota; Alphaproteobacteria. The record is from RNAcentral.
UACGAAUGGGGCAAGCGUUGUUCGGAAUCACUGGGCUUAAAACGUACGUAGGCGGUUAUGAAAGUCAGAAGUGAAAGCCCCGGGCUCAACCCGGGAACUGCUUUUGAAACUCCAUAACUCGAAUCCGGGAGAGGUUGGGAGAAUUCCUAGUGUAGAGGUGAAAUUCGCAGAUAUUAGGAGGAAUACCAGUGGCGUAGGCGCCCAACUGGACCGGCAUUGACGCUGAGGUACGAAAGCGUGGGGAGCAAACAGG